UUGCUCGUCCCUGAGCAAGGAUAGACUCAGCUAUGGAUCAUAAGUUGUUGCAAUAUCUUUAAAAAUUGAUGGUACACAUGCUUUUUAAAUAAGAUCUCAUCUCUGAGUUAGAGUAAACUGUCAAGACUUAAAACUUACUUACUUUACCUUUUACCAUGGGACUUGUAACCGUCACUUCUGUCUUGACUAGUUAAAAGAUAGAACAGUCUAGUCAAGUGCCAUGUCUCUUAUUCUUGAUCAGCUAUAGCUCUAGAGUUUUUUGCAGAUUUUCAAAUAAAACUCAGAGAUUCCUUGUAUGAUUCUCUCAAAUCUCUCUUUUGUGGUAAUUCUGGAUCCUUACCAAGGCAGUGAUGGUAUAUGCCUUCUCUCAAAAUAUGUGGUAUUUGUGGUAUAAAGCAUAGUGACAUUGACUUCUCUCUCACCCUACUCUAAUAAGGCUUUAAUAUCUGGAGCUCAUAGGUGGGAGAUAAAGUAUACAUACUCACAAGACAUUUAUUGUAUAGUCAAACCAUGGAUCCAAAGAAACAAAUCAAUAAGUCAAAUCAAGAUUUGCAUGUGUGGCGAAUGAAUGGUAUAUGGUGAUGACGGUGAUAACAAUGGUGAAAGUCUAAUUCUACUUUUGCUCUUCUGAGGGGAUACAUACCUUCCUUGCUUUCUGAAACUUUUGAACAGAAUGAGAUGCUCUUAUUUUUCUUUUCACUCAGGUGGGUAUUUUGUACCCCUAAUUCUACUGUCGGACACUUGUCCAUUUUUACCUCUCGUCUCACUUUUUCUUUUCUUUCGAGGUUCCGGGCACUUGCCCCUUUUUAUUUCCUUGUAUCUUUUUUUUUCUCUCUCUUUUUUUUCAGAGCACUCAUCUCUUGAGAUAAUAUAGCAAGUGGUAGUAACAAGAUAACUUGAGCAUUUAUUUCACAGGGAAAAACAGAAAUAUUUUUGGCUAUUCUCUCCCGGAUUAGGAGUAGAAUAUGUUUAGGUGGUUCUGGAGAUGAAAAUGGGUGGAUAUAUGUGGAUGGUACUUCUGGAGUAGAAGUAGCAUAUAUGAGUGAACGUGCAAGUGAAAUCUUGAUUUUAACUACAUGACAAGCUCCUAAGGGUCUACACAGCUUGACCACACUCAAUGCUCAUAAGCAGUAAAUAGUAAAUGUGUGGCUCAAAGUCUAGCAAGCAUGUAUAUAUGGCUGUGGUAGAAAUUUAAACUCUCAUCAUACAGGAACUCAUCAUGCAAUAUUUUAAAGAUUUUUAAAGCUAAAAUUCUCUAGAAUUCUAGCAUCUCUAGGAACAGAUAAACAGCAGCUCAACCUUCCCAUAUCAUAUCCGUUAACAACUUAGACUUCAGAUCAAGUUUUCAUCCCACAAGUUUAGGUCUAGAGCAAGCUUUAAAUUAUAACAGUUAUGUCUAAACUUGAGAGAGAACUUAAAAUGUGCAAAUUAGGUAGAGCAACUAUUCAUGAUAUCCAUGCUAGAGUUUUAUUAUUAAGAUACAGAUUAGCAUAGCCACUCUAUUUAUUUAUUAAACACACUAGGCAAAAGAUAUAAGCACAAAAUCUUUAUUUGGUUUUUCCUGGUUUAUGUAUAUUUAUAUUCUAAAAUAGUAUAAGUUUAAAGAUAGAUAGAUAGAAAUACUUAUCGGGAUAAAUAGGGGUGCUCUCCCCCAAGCUGAAUUUUGACGUAAUUUCUCUUGAUGUAGCUAGCAGGUGAGGUGUAUUUGAAAGUCAGCAGCAUUCUGUCAGCGAUUAGAAUGUCCUCCGUCUACUAGUCUUCUUGAUUCUUAAAUUCUGUGGAGCUCAAAUAGACAACAAAGCUUGUGGAAUUGAUUAAGUGUUAGCAUAAAUAUCUAGCCUUUAUCAUGUUGAGACUCCAUAAUAUUUGUUACUCCCUGUUUUUAUAUUUUUAUUUUAUAAAGCAGAAAAGAAAUAUUUAUUUUAUUUUUAUGCCACCACAGUGAAUGUACUUAUGGGUUUGAUGCCACUCGUAUACUCACAUGGGGCUUACAGUUUUUCACAUUUUUAUUUUAUUUUUAAGAUAGUAUGAAUAUGAUUAACUAAGUAAAAUAAUUGAAAGGGAAAGGAUAACUAUCAAGUUUACCUCUUGGCAAGACGUUCGGUGUUUUUAUGUCCUCCGAACAGGACUCUCCAUUUUCUCAAUUGUCCUGGAAUUCGUUGGGUGGCGGAGUCGGUACUUCCGGCAGCGCCUCUUCUUCAUGUAUAGUUAUCUUCUCUUUCCAUACCUGACUCGGUGCUUCAGUCUCCUCUGGAUAAUUCUGUUUAAACUCUACGUCUUCUGACCUUACAACUUCUCCUUCAUAGUCUGCCCAUCCGUCCUUGAUGAUUUGCCUCCUCUGGUUGCGUCAUUUUCUUACCUGCUUAGAUUCUUCAAAGAUGUAGUUAGGGUCAGUAAAAUAACGGCGUACCUUCUCUGAGGGGAAGUGCAUAUGGACUUCUCCAGUUCCAAUGUAGAUAAUUGCUUUAACAGUGCUGAGGAACGGUCUUCCAAGGAUGAUGGGUGGAUCGUAUUCAUCUUCUCCCAUGUCAAUAACCUGAAAGUCUGUGUAGACAAAAUGAUCGUCUAUUUUGACUGGGACAUCCGUUACUGUUCCUUUAACUUCUCGAGAUGUCUGAUCUGCCAUCUGGAGCUGAAUGUAUGUUAGUCUUAGUGGCAUGGUUCCGAACAAGAGCCGAUAGGUGACUACGGCCAUUAUGUUGACGCCCGAUCCGGUGUCGCAAAACGUCUUGUAGAAGCUGUAUCCAUUUAUGGAGCAGUAGAUGCUUGGCAUUACUAGGUCGUCCUUCUUGGUCAAAAACGAUGACUUAAGUUGAUGAUCUUGACCUCCAUGAACUGCAGUGACCAUCUUAGCUGAUUCGGUCCACACUUGCUUGUCUUGUUUCCUCCUGUUGUUCCCUCCCUUGAUUCACGUCUGGAAUGAUCUGGGAUUUGUGUAGCUUGUUCUGGAAGAAAAAUGUCUCCUUCCUCCCUUUGAUGUAGAAACUGAUCUUGGCAGCACUAGCAUAGAUGACAGCUCCCGAGGUGUUUAAGAAUGGCCUCCCUAAGAUGAUGGGUGCUCUCUCAUCACUACCGGUAUCUAUCACCACGAAGUCUGCUAGGGCGUACAAGGUACCAACUUGGACACAAAGGUUCUUCAAUAUUCCUUUUGGAAAACUUAUCGUCUGAUCUGCAAACUGCAAACACAUGGUUGUCUCUAAUAAAGGAUAUGUAAAGAAUUUUUCAUGGAGUACCCUAGGUAUAAUGUUGACACUGGAGCCAAAGUCGCAGAGUGCUUCUGGGAAGUCCACCAUUCCGAUGGAGAUCGGGAUGACGGGGCGUCCUGGAUCGCCUCUCUUGACCGGCAGAAGGUCAGUAGUAAAUUCAGUGACGGGGUUACUCCAAUUACCUGCAUCAAACAUGUCUACAAGAUUUGCAGAUUCUAAUCCUUCCGGUUGUGAUGGUAUACCGGGGUUAGUAGCAGGAACAGCAGCAGCUAUUUGAUUUAACUGAGAUUCAAUCAUUUUAUUAAAGCUAAUUUGAUUCUUGAUGGCAGUAGAGAAAUUAUCCGGUCUAUUAUUUAUAUUUUCUAGCAUUUUAUCAUUUGAUGCCAAUUUCUUAGAUAGAUUAUCCAUUAGCUUUCCUUGAUUAGACACUAACUCUCUCAAAGGUGGAAAAUUAUUAUUAUUGUUGUAAGAACUGUUACCUUGAUAAUUACCUGAGUAGUUAGGCCUCUGUUGAUUCCAACCUUGAUUUUGUUGAGGACGGUUGUAGUAGUUGUUGUUGUUAUUGUUGAUGCAGUUCACAUCCUCAAGUAUCUCAGGGCAGUGAUUGCCUGAGUGUCCAGUAUCUCCACACUCCUCACAAGUCAUGUGAGAGUCGUAGAUGUGCAUAACUUCUUUCUUGUCUCCAUCUCUAUCAUCGAGCUUCUUCAUGAGCAGGUCUAGCUUUGCAGAUAGCAUGUCUACCUCCUUGAGCUGAUGCAUACCUCCACCUCUCUUGCGUGUCUGGGUCCUCUCUUCAUUCCAGCCUUGGUUGGACGCCAUCUUCUCCACAAGAGCUGUGGCUUGUCAUAUGGUAAGUGAUAAGAAUGCUCCUCCAGCUGCAGCAUCCAUGGUUUCUCGGGCACUGUUGCUGAGCCCAUGAUAAAACGUCUCUAUUAGUAGCCAACCCUCCAUUCCAUGUUGGGGACAUUAUAAGAUGUAGUCUUGGAAGCGCUCCCAUGCUUCUGGAACAGAUUCAUCAUGUUGUUGCUGAAAACUUGUAAUCUUCCCACGGAGAGCAUUGGUCUUGCCCAUGGGAAAGAACUUAGCCAGGAAGUUUGUUGAGCAGAGUGCCCACGUAGUAUUCUUCUCCUUUGUAGCGUAAAACCACUGCUUCGCUCUUCCUAGCAGUGAGAAUGGGAAGAGGCGAAGUAGUAUAGCAUCUCUGGGGACUCCUGAUAUGGUGAAUGUGCUGCAAAUCUCCAGGAAGUGUUGGAGAUGAGCACUAGCAUCUUCGUGUGCCUUCCCACAGAACUGGUUGGAUUGCACCAUGUUGAUAAGUCCAGGCUUGAGCUCAAAGUUGCCGUCGAUCUCUGCAGCAGGUCCUGUGCUGAUGUUGUCCGUAGUGGGAGCUGAGAACUCGCGGAUCGAUUUGUUCGCCAUGGCUUCGAACUCUGAAGACAAGUUUCGGUGAUUUUCUUCAUUGGAUGAAGCUUCUUGCUGAAGUGUUGAUGAUCUCUUCUUGAGCUUUGCUUUUGUCUUCUUGAAUAAUGCUUUGGGAUUGUCUUCUAUUCAUACAUUCCCCUGCAUAAGAUAAAAUGGAAAAAUAUCGGGGUAAAACUGUAUGAGAGAAUAGAUAAGCUCAAUCAUAUUAGUGACGCGAAUGAUAACUCAAAAUCCUUUAUUCCAUUCCGGAUUAGUAAUCAACCUUCCCCGGCAACGGCGCCAAAAAUGCUUGUUGGGUAUUCUUAACAUCAUUACCAAAAGUAGACUAAGUUCUCUAAAUCUAGUAACGGUGCCAAAAAUGCCAAACCUAUCCCUCACACCACUUAAGCCAAGUUGUCAUCCCCAGCAUGACAUGAGAGACGCGGUAUUGAAAUAUGCAAUUGCUCUUCUAAAUAAAUAAUGAAUGGGAUCUGCAAGCGCACAGAUUAAUACCGAUGUAGCAUUUUAACCAGGAAGUAUUCCAGGUAUCGUUAUUUAUAUUUUUACCACUGGGAAGGGAUUAGUAACCAUCAAUAUUGAUUACAUAAUAGAAUAUGAGAUUGAGUAUCUAUCAUUGCAUGUAUAAUUGAGAACAUUUAUCUAACUCUUUCAUACAGGGGUAAGUGUCACAUAAAAGAUAUAUGAAAUAAUGAAUAGUGACAAAGAUAAUUAAUCUGAUCAUAACUUAGCCACAUAUAAAUAUGAUAAGCACCUCAAUUAGAUACUCUAUAAAGUCAUUAGCAUGGAAUUAGAACGAACUACAAGAAUAUUUCCUAAGUUAUUCUCAACUAUAUAGUCUAGCAUCAUCAUAGUUAGUGCAAGCAUACUUAGCAAUCAUUGUGAGACAAGAUUACGCCCAUGCAUAGUGAUAUUAGCAAGGUAACUGAGAAACAUAGCAAUCACUCUCCUGUAAUAAUAUUGCUGUGCCAGCCCAAUACACGAGCGGGGGACUAUAUAAGAAUCAAUGAAGCUGUCACUAUCACGAACUACCCCACGAUCUGGCAUAUUAGGUACAAUCGCAGAUAAAUACGGUAUAAGCACCACGCCUACACAAUAUCUAUCAUUUACCCAUGGAUCCGAUGGAUAAACGCUAUACGAUCCUAAGCAUGUAUAUAGAUCCAAUCUAACUAAGCCAAGUACAUAACUAUAACAAACUAAGAACAAUAUAAUCUUGAAUAUAAACAAGUAGAGCAAAGUCAUAAGCAAUAUAUUGAAGUAGAACAAAGUCAUAUCCAUAAUAUUGAAGAACAAAGAUAAUUAGAAAGCAAUUAGAAGCACAAGUAGAGAAUUACCAAGAAUCCUCUUGACAGGUCCGGAAACCAAUCGAAGAUUGACUCCUUCUAGUUCUAAUCCUAUGUAGCUAUGCUAAUCUAGAUAUCUAAUUGAUGUGGUGGCUCUAAUCUUGAUCAGAGGCUUCUUCUCCCUUGAAGAACAAUGAAUUAGGGUUGAGAGGCUCUCUCCUCUAGGAGCCAGGGGGUCUGGUUUUAUAGUCCCUUCAAGUGAAUAUGGGCCGUUGGAUCAAACCAACAUUGAUUGAACGGUUAUCCUUGAUCCUUUAGGUCAGUGGAGAUCUCCAGAGAAACAGAGUCCUGAUUGGACUCCAGGUCAGGGCGGGCGCCCAGGGCAGGAGGGCGGGCGCCCUGCCUCUGGCCCCGUUCGGCCUCCGCUUUCUUCCCGUGGCUUCUGGAGUCUUCUAGAUGUAAGAUAAUUGCGCGGCACGUUAAUAUCUCUAUGUAAUCCCGACGUGUGGGCCUUUCUUCCGUAUUUCCUGAUAAACCCCUGCAGAAAUAGACAAACACCAAAACUCAUGGAAUUCUGUUAGAUAAAACCCUAAGUCUAGAUGUUGAUUUCAUUCGGAUCCUUUUCUUUGUUUAUUUGAUAAUUAAAUUUGAUACUUAAGGACCAUCAACAAACUCCCCCAAGCUGACCUCUUGCUCGUCCCUGAGCAAGGAUAGACUCAGCUAUGGAUCAUAAGUUGUUGCAAUAUCUUUAAAAAUUGAUGGUACACAUGCUUUUUAAAUAAGAUCUCAUCUCUGAGUUAGAGUAAACUGUCAAGACUUAAAACUUACUUACUUUACCUUUUACCAUGGGACUUGUAACCGUCACUUCUGUCUUGAGUAGUUAAAAGAUAGAACAGUCUAGUCAAGUGCCAUAUCUCUUAUUCUUGAUCAGCUAUAGCUCUAGAGUUUUUUGCAGAUUUUCAAAUAAAACUCAGAGAUUCCUUGUAUGAUUCUCUCAAAUCUCUCUUUUGUGGUAAUUUUGGAUCCUUACCAAGGCAGUGAUGGUAUAUGCCUUCUCUCAAAAUAUGUGGUAUUUGUGGUAUAAAGCAUAGUGACAUUGACUUCUCUCUCACCCUACUCUAAUAAGGCUUUAAUAUUUGGAGCUCAUAGGUGGGAGAUAAAGUAUACAUACUCACAAGACAUUUAUUGUAUAGUCAAACCAUGGAUCCAAAGAAACAAAUCAAUAAGUCAAAUCAAGAUUUGCAUGUGUGGCGAAUGAAUGGUAUAUGGUGAUGACGGUGAUAACAAUGGUGAAAGUCUAAUUCUACUUUUGCUCUUCUGAGGGGAUACAUACCUUCCUUGCUUUCUGAAACUUUUGAAGAGAAUGAGAUGCUCUUAUUUUUCUUUUCACUCAGGUGGGUAUUUUGUACCCCUAAUUCUACUGUCGGACACUUGUCCAUUUUCACCUCUCGUCUCACUUUUUCUUUUCUUUCGAGGUUCCGGGCACUUGCCCCUUUUUAUUUCCUCGUAUCUUUUUUUUUCUCUCUCUUUUUUUCAGAGCACUCAUCUCUUGAGAUAAUAUAGCAAGUGGUAGUAACAAGAUAACUUGAGCAUUUAUUUCACAGGGAAAAACAGAAAUAUUUUUGGCUAUUCUCUCCCGGAUUAGGAGUAGAAUAUGUUUAGGUGGUUCUGGAGAUGAAAAUGGGUGGAUAUAUGUGGAUGGUACUUCUAGAGUAGAAGUAGCAUAUAUGAGUGAACGUGCAAGUGAAAUCUUGAUUUUAACUACAUGACAAGCUCCUAAGGGUCUACACAGCUUGACCACACUCAAUGCUCAUAAGCAGUAAAUAGUAAAUGUGUGGCUCAAAGUCUAGCAAGCAUGUAUAUAUGGCUAUGGUAGAAAUUUAAACUCUCAUCAUACAGGAACUCAUCAUGCAAUAUUUUAAAGAUUUUUAAAGCUAAAAUUCUCCAGAAUUCUAGCAUCUCUAGGAACAGAUAAACAGCAGCUCAACCUUCCCAUAUCAUAUCCGUUAACAACUUAGACUUCAGAUCAAGUUUUCAUCCCACAAGUUUAGGUCUAGAGCAAGCUUUAAAUUAUAACAGUUAUGUCUAAACUUGAGAGAGAACUUAAAAUGUGCAAAUUAGGCAGAGCAACUAUUCAUGAUAUCCAUGCUAGAGUUUUAUUAUUAAGAUACAGAUUAGCAUAGCCACUCUAUUUAUUUAUUAAACAUACUAGGCAAAAGAUAUAAGCACAAAAUCUUUAUUUGGUUUUUCCUGGUUUAUGUAUAUUUAUAUUCUAAAAUAGUAUAAGUUUAAAGAUAGAUAGAUAGAAAUACUUAUCGGGAUAAAUAGGGGUGCUCCCCUCCAAGCUGAAUUUUGACGUAAUUUCUCUUGAUGUAGCUAGCAGGUGAGGUGUAUUUGAAAGUCAGCAGCAUUCUGACAGCGAUUAGAAUGUCCUCCGUCUACUAGUCUUCUUGAUUCUUAAAUUCUGUGGAGCUCAAACAGACAACAAAGCUUGUGGAAUUGAUUAAGUGCUAGCAUAAAUAUCUAGCCUUUAUCAUGUUGAGACUCCUUAAUAUUUGUUACUCCCUGUUUUUAUAUUUUUAUUUUAUAAAGCAGAAAAGAAAUAUUUAUUUUAUUUUUAUGCCACCACAGUGAAUGUUCUUAUGGGUUUGAUGCCACUCGUAUACUCACAUGGGGCUUACAGUUUUUCACAUUUUUAUUUUAUUUUUAAGAUAGUAUGAAUAUGAUUAACUAAGUAAAAUAAUUGAAAGGGAAAGGAUAACUACCAAGUUUACCUCUUGGCAAGGCAUUCGGUGUUUUUAUGUCCUCCGAACAGGACUCUCCAUUUUCUCAAUUGUCCUGGGAUUCGUUGGGUGGCGCAGUCGGUACUUCCGGUAGCGCCUCUUCUUCAUGUAUAGUUAUCUUCUCUUUCCAUACCUGACUCGGUGCUUCGGUCUCCUCUGGAUAAUUCUGUUUAAACUCUACGUCUUCUGACCUUAAAACUUCUCCUUCAUAGUCUGCCCAUCCGUCCUUGAUGAUUUGCCUCCUCUGGUUGCGUCAUUUUCUUACCUGCUUAGAUUCUUCAAAGAUGCAGUUAGGGUCAGUAAAAUAACGGCGUACCUUCUCUGAGGGGAAGUGCAUAUGGACUUCUCCAGUUCCAAUGUAGAUAAUUGCUUUAACAGUGCUGAGGAACGGUCUUCCAAGGAUGAUGGGUGGAUCGUAUUCAUCUUCUCCCAUGUCAAUAACCUGAAAGUCUGUGUAGACAAAAUGAUCGUCUAUUUUGACUGGGACAUCAGUUACUGUUCCUUUAACUUCUCGACAUGUCUGAUCUGCCAUCUGGAGCUGAAUGUAUGUUAGUCUUAGUGGCAUGGUUCCGAACAAGAGCCGAUAGGUGACUGAGGCCAUUAUGUUGACGCCCGAUCUGGUGUCGCAAAACGUCUUGUAGAAGCUGUAUCCAUUUAUGGAGCAGUAGAUGCUUGGCAUUCCUAGGUCGUCCUUCUUGGUCAAAAACGGUGACUUAAGUUGAUGAUCUUGACCUCCAUGAACUGCAGUGACCAUCUUAGCUGAUUCGGUCCACACUUGCUUGUUCUUGUUCCUCCUGUUGGUCCUCUUCCUUGAUUCAUGUCUCGAUUGAUCUGGGAUUUGUGUAGCCUUGUUCUUGAAGAAAAAUGUCUCCUUCCUCCCUUUGAUGUAGAAACUGAUCUUGGCAGCACUAGCAUAGAUGACAGCUCCCGAGGUGUUUAAGAAUGGCCUCCCUAAGAUGAUGGGUGCUCUCUCAUCACUACCGGUCUCUAUCACCACGAAGUCUGCUGGGGCGUACAAGGUACCAACUUGGACACAAAGGUUCUUCAAUAUUCCUUUUGGAAAACUUAUCGUCUGAUCUGCAAACUGCAAACACAUGGUUGUCUCUAAUAAAGGAUAUGUAAAGAAUUUUUCAUAGAGUACCCUGGGUAUAAUGUUGACACUGGAGCCAAAGUCGCAGAGUGCUUCUGGGAAGUCCACCAUGCCGAUGGAGAUCGGGAUGACGGGGCGUCCUGGAUCGCCUCUCUUGACCGGCAGAAGGUCAGUAGUAAAUUCAGUGACGGGGUUACUCCAAUUACCUGCAUCAAACAUGUCUACAAGAUUUGCAGAUUCUAAUCCUUCCGGUUGUGAUGGUAUACCGGGGUUAGUAGCAGGAACAGCAGCAGCUAUUCGAUCUAACUGAGAUUCAAUCAUUUUAUUAAAGCUAAUUUGAUUCUUGAUGGCAGUAGAGAAAGUAUCCAUUCUAUUAUUUAUAUUUUCUAGCAUUUUAUCAUUUGAUUACAAUUUCUUAGAUAGAUUAUCCAUUAGCUUUCCUUGAUUAGACACUAACUCUCUCAAAGGUGGAAAAUUAUUAUUAUUGUUGUAAGAACUGUUACCUUGAUAAUUACCUGAGUAGUUAGGCCUCUGUUGAUUCCAACCUUGAUUUUGUUGAGGACGGUUGUAGUAGUUGUUGUUGUUAUUGUUGAUGGAGUUCACAUCCUCAAGUAUCUCAGGGCAGUGAUUGCCUGAGUGUCCAGUAUCUCCACACUCCUCACAAGUCAUGUGAGAGUCGUAGAUGUGCAUAACUUCUUUCUUGUCUCCAGCUCUAUCAUCGAGCUUCUUCAUGAGCAGGUCUAGCUUUGCAGAUAGCAUGUCUACCUCCUUGAGCUGAUGCAUACCUCCACCUCUCUUGCGUGUCUUGGUCCUCUCUUCAUUCCAGCCUUGGUUGGACACCAUCUUCUCCACAAGAGCUGUGGCUUGUGAUAUGGUAAGUGAUAAGAAUGCUCCUCCAGCUGCAGCAUCCAUGGUUUCUCGGGCACUGUUGCCGAGCCCAUGAUAAAACGUCUCUAUUAGUAGCCAACCCUCCAUUCCAUGAUGGGGACAUUCUAAGAUGUAGUCUUGCAAGCGCUCCCAUGCUUCUGGAACAGAUUCAUCAUGUUGUUGCUGAAAACUUGUAAUCUUCCCACGGAGAGCAUUGGUCUUGCCCAUGGGAAAGAACUUAGCCAGGAAGUUUGUUGAGCAGAGUGCCCACGUAGUAUUCUUCUCCUUUGUAGCGUAAAACCACUGCUUCGCUCUUCCUAACAGUGAGAAUGGGAAGAGGCGAAGUAGUAUAGCAUCUCUGGGGACUCCUGAUAUGGUGAAUGUGCUGCAAAUCUCCAGGAAGUGUUGGAGAUGAGCAGUAGCAUCUUCGUGUGCCUUCCCACAGAACUGGUUGGAUUGCACCAUGUUGAUAAGUCCAGGCUUGAGCUCAAAGUUGCCGUCGAUCUCUGCAGCAGGUCCUGUGCUGAUGUUGUCCGUAGUGGGAGCUGAGAACUCGCGGAUCGAUUUGUUCGCCAUGGCUUCGAACUCUGAAGACAAGUUUCGAUGAUCUUCUUGAUUGGAUGAAGCUUCUUGCUGAAGUGUUGAUGAUCUCUUCUUGAGCUUUGCUUUUGUCUUCUUGAAUAAUGCUUUGGGAUUGUCAACAAAACUUCCUGGAAGAUGUCUUCUAUUCAUACAUUCCCCUGCAUAAGAUAAAAUGGAAAAAUAUCGGGGUAAAACUGUAUGAGAGAAUAGAUAAGCUCAAUCAUAUUAGUGAUGCGAAUGAUAACUCAAAAUCCUUUAUUCCAUUCCUGAUUAGUAAUCAACCUUCCCCGGCAACGGCGCCAAAAAUGCUUGUUGGGUAUUCUUAACAUCAUUACCAAAAGUAGACUAAGUUCUCUAAAUCUAGUAACGGUGCCAAAAAUGCCAAACCUAUCCCUCACACCACUUAAGCCAAGUUGUCAUCCCCAGCAUGACAUGAGAGACGCGGUAUUGAAAUAUGCAAUUGCUCUUCUAAAUAAAUAAUGAAUGGGAUCUGCAAGCGCACAGAUUAAUACCGAUGUAGCAUUUUAACCGGGAAGUAUUCCAGGUAUCGUUAUUUAUAUUUUUACCACUGGGAAGGGAUUAGUAACCAGCAAUAUUGAUUACAUAAUAGAAUAUGAGAUUGAGUAUCUAUCAUUGCAUGUAUAAUUGAGAACAUUUAUCUAACUCUUUCAUACAGGGGUAAGUGUCACAUAAAAGAUAUAUGAAAUAAUGAAUAGUGACAAAGAUAAUUAAUCUGAUCAUAACUUAGCCACAUAUAAAUAUGAUAAGCACCUCAAUUAGAUACUCUAGAAAGUCAUUAGCAUGGAAUUAGAACGAACUACAAGAAUAUUUCCUAAGUUAUUCUCAACUAUAUAGUCUAGCAUUAUCAUAGUUAGUGCAAGCAUACUUAGCAAUCAUUGUGAGACAAGAUUACGCCCAUGCAUAGUGAUAUUAGCAAGGUAACUGAGAAACAUAGCAAUCACUCUCCUGUAAUAAUAUUGCUGUGCCAGCCCAAUACACGAGAGGGGGACUAUAUAAGAAUCAAUGAAGCUGUCACUAUCACGAACUACCCCACGAUCUGGCAUAUUAGGUAAAAUCGCAGAUAAAUACGGUAUAAGCACCACGCCUACACAAUAUCUAUCAUUUACCCAUGGAUCCGAUGGAUAAACGCUAUACGAUCCUAAGCAUGUAUAUAGAUCCAAUCUAACUAAGCCAAGUACAUAACUAUGACAAACUAAGAACAAUAUAAUCUUGAAUAUAAACAAGUAGAGCAAAGUCAUAAGCAAUAUAUUGAAGUAGAACAAAGUCAUAUUCAUAAUAUUGAAGAACAAAGAUAAUUAGAAAGCAAUUAGAAGCACAAUUAGAGAAUUACCAAGAAUCCUCUUGACAGGUCCGGAAACCAAUCGAAGAUUGACUCCUUCUAGUUCUAAUCCUAUGUAGCUAUACUAACCUAGAUAUCUAAUUGAUGUGGUGGCUCUAAUCUUGAUCAGAGGCUUCUUCUCCCUUGAAGAACAAUGAAUUAGGGUUGAGAGGCUCUCUCCUCUAGGAGCCAGGGGGUCUGGUUUUAUAGUCCCUUCAAGUGAAUAUGGGCCGUUGGAUCAAACCGACAUUGAUUGAACGGUUAUCCUUGAUCCUUUAGGUCAGUGGAGAUCUCCCGAGAAACAGAGUCCUGAUUGGACUCCAGGUCAGGGCGGGCGCCCAGGGCAGGAGGGCGGGCGCCCUGCCUCUGGCCCCGUUCGGCCUCCGCUUUCUUCCCGUGGCUUCUGGAGUCUUCUAGAUGUAAGAUAAUUGCGCGGCACGUUAAUAUCUCUAUGUAAUCCCGACGUGUGGGCCUUUCUUCCGUAUUUCAUAAUAAACCCCUGCAAAAAUAGACAAACACCAAAACUCAUGGAAUUCUGUCAGAUAAAACCCUAAGUCUAGAUGUUGAUUUCAUUUGGAUCCUUUUCUUUGUUUAUUUGAUAAUUAAAUUUGAUACUUAAGGACCAUCAACAAACUCCCCCAAGCUUACCUCUUGCUCGUCCCUGAGCAAGGAUAGACUCAGCUAUGGAUCAUAAGUAGUUGCAAUAUCUUUAAAAAUUGACGGUACACAUGCUUUUUAAAUAAGAUCUCAUCUCUGAGUUAGAGUAAACUGUCAAGACUUAAAACUUACUUACUUUACCUUUUACCAUGGGACUUGUAACCGUCACUUCUGUCUUUAGUAGUUAAAAGAUAGAACAGUCUAGUCAAGUGCCAUGUCUCUUAUUCUUGAUCAGCUAUAGUUCUAGAGUUUUUUGCAGAUUUUCAAAUAAAACUCAGAGAUUCCUUGUAUGAUUCUCUCAAAUCUCUCUUUUGUGGUAUUUCUGGAUCCUUACCAAGGCAGUGAUAUGGUAUAUGCCUUCUCUCAAAAUAUGUGGUAUUUGUGGUAUAAAGCAUAGUGACAUUGACUUCUCUCUCACCUACUCUAAUAAGGCUUUAAUAUCUGGAGCUCAUAGGUGGGAGAUAAAGUAUACAUACUCACAAGACAUUUAUUGUAUAGUCAAACCAUGGAUCCAAAGAAACAAAUCAAUAAGUCAAAUCAAGAUGUGCAUGUGUGGCGAAUGAAUGGUAUAUGGUGAUGACGGUGAUAACAAUGGUGAAAGUCUAAUUCUACUUUUGCUCUUCUGAGGGGAUACAUACCUUCCUUGCUUUCUGAAACUUUUGAAGAGAAUGAGAUGCUCUUAUUUUUCUUUUCACUCAGGUGGGUAUUUUGUACCCCUAAUUCUACUGUCGGACACUUGUCCAUUUUUACCUCUCGUCUCACUUUUUCUUUUCUUUCGAGGUUCCGGGCACUUGCCCCUUUUUAUUUCCUCGUAUCUUUUUUUUUCUCUCUCUCUUUUUUCAGAGCACUCAUCUCUUGAGAUAAUAUAGCAAGUGGUAGUAACAAGAUAACUUGAGCAUUUAUUUCACAGGGAAAAACAGAAAUAUUUUUGGCUAUUCUCUCCCGGAUUAGGAGUAGAAUAUGUUUAGGUGGUUCUGGAGAUGAAAAUGGGUGGAUAUAUGUGGAUGGUACUUCUGGAGUAGAAGUAGCAUAUAUGAGUGAACGUGCAAGUGAAAUCUUGAUUUUAACUACAUGACAAGCUCCUAAGGGUCUACACAGCUUGACCACACUCAAUGCUCAUAAGCAGUAAAUAGUAAAUGUGUGGCUCAAAGUCUAGCAAGCAUGUAUAUAUGGCUGUGGUAGAAAUUUAAACUCUCAUCAUACAGGAACUCAUCAUGCAAUAUUUUAAAGAUUUUUAAAGAUAAAAUUCUCCAGAAUUCUAGCAUCUCUAGGAACAGAUAAACAGCAGCUCAACCUUCCCAUAUCAUAUCCGUUAACAACUUAGACUUCAGAUCAAGUUUUCAUCCCACAAGUUUAGGUCUAGAGCAAGCUUUAAAUUAUAACAGUUAUGUCUAAACUUGAGAGAGAACUUAAAAUGUGCAAAUUAGGCAGAGCAACUAUUCAUGAUAUCCAUGCUAGAGUUUUAUUAUUAAGAUACAGAUUAGAUAGCCACUCUAUUUAUUUAUUAAACACACUAGGCAAAAGAUAUAAGCACAAAAUCUUUAUUUGGUUUUUCCUGGUUUAUGUAUAUUUAUAUUCUAAAAUAGUAUAAGUUUAAAGAUAGAUAGAUAGAAAUACUUAUCGGGAUAAAUAGGGGUGCUCUCCCCCAAGCUAAAUUUUGACGUAAUUUCUCUUGAUGUAGCUAGCAGGUGAGGUGUAUUUGAAAGUCAGCAGCAUUCUGACAGCGAUUAGAAUGUCCUCCGUCUACUAGUCUUCUUGAUUCUUAAAUUCUGUGGAGCUCAAAUAGACAACAAAGCUUGUGGAAUUGAUUAAGUGUUAGCAUAAAUAUCUAGCCUUUAUCAUGUUGAGACUCCUUAAUAUUUGUUACUCCCUGUUUUUAUAUUUUUAUUUUAUAAAGCAGAAAAGAAAUAUUUAUUUUAUUUUUAUGCCACCACACUGAAUGUACUUAUGGGUUUGAUGCCACUCGUAUACUCACAUGGGGCUUACAGUUUUUCACAUUUUUAUUUUAUUUUUAAGAUAGUAUGAAUAUGAUUAACUAAGUAAAAUAAUUGAAAGGGAAAGGAUAACUACCAAGUUUACCUCUUGACAAGGCGUUCGGUGUUUUUAUAUCCUCCGAACAGGACUCUCCAUUUUCUCAAUUGUCCUGGGAUUCGUUGGGUGGCGGAGUCGGUACUUCCGGCAGUGCCUCUUCUUCAUGUAUAGUUAUCUUCUCUUUCCAUACCUGACUCGGUGCUUCGGUCUCCAGUGGAUAAUUCUGUUUAAACUCUACGUCUUCUGACCUUACAACUUUUCCUUCAUAGUCUGCCCAUCCGUCCUUGAUGAUUUGCCUCCUCUGGUUGCGUCAUUUUGUUACCUGCUUAGAUUCUUCAAAGAUGUAGUUAGGGUCAGUAAAAUAACGGCGUACCUUCUCUGAGGGGAAGUGCAUAUGGACUUCUCCAGUUCCAAUGUAGAUAAUUGCUUUAACAGUGCUGAGGAACGGUCUUCCAAGGAUGAUGGGUGGAUCGUAUUCAUCUUCUCCCAUG
Molecule: long non-coding RNA, 15748 nt
Filed under: Sorghum bicolor (sorghum)
Lineage: Eukaryota; Viridiplantae; Streptophyta; Magnoliopsida; Poales; Poaceae
Description: long non-coding RNA (SBIC_LNC004717)
Rfam family: Plant small nucleolar RNA R71 (bases 10755-10861)
Source: RNAcentral